This 5470-nucleotide long non-coding RNA is filed under the name Phaseolus vulgaris (common bean). RNAcentral's name for it is "long non-coding RNA (PVUL_LNC001380)". Lineage: Eukaryota; Viridiplantae; Streptophyta; Magnoliopsida; Fabales; Fabaceae. The record is from RNAcentral.
AUAAUUAGCCGACAAUAAAGAAUGGUUUAUGAGUUUAUCCAGCAUGACAUUCCCCUCAUCAAAUAUUUCCUUCAAACUCCUCUUUCCAUUCAACAAUCCCCUCUCAACAAGCUUCAUAAUCAAAUCAUCUCUUUCCAAAUCAUUAGGUAGCAAUGCACUAUACAAGAAACAUUUUUGCACGUCCUUUUCAGUUAAAUUAUCAUAGCUUCGUCUUAGUACACUUAAAACUUCUUCCUGCAUCUCCACUCCCAUUUCCAAUGUGUCAAGUUUAUUCAGUACGUAUCUCCACCAAUGAAUGUCAGUUUUUCCUUUCAUGAAUCGAGCAAUCACACUGAUUCCAAGUGGUAAACCAUCACAUUUCCUUACAAUGUCUCUUGCAAUAUUUUCCACUUCAGGGGGAAGUGUUGAAGGUGUCCCACGGUGUCCAUGUUUUAGCAAAAACAACUCCCAAGCUUCAUCAAAAUAUAUACUUAAAGGGCUCACACUUAUCAUAUUAAUUGAUUGGCAAUCCAUCUGUUCAAACACAUGUUUCAAACGACUUGUGAUGAUCAAUUUAACACCCUUUACUUCAAGAGGAAUUCCCACCUUUUCUAGAUCAAUAUAUUUCCAAACAUCAUCCAAAAUAAGUACUAUUUUUUUUCUUUUUUCUAACUCUGAUACUAAAAUCAUUGCUCUUUUUCUCUCAUCAUCUCCGUAAAGCUUUACCUUUAUUAUUUCUGCAAUUUGCUGUUGCAAUUUGAAAAUGGUGAAAUCAUGGGAAACAGUGACCCAUAAGACAUCAUUGAAAGUUUUCUUUCUUUUUAUCUCACUCUGCAUGUAAGUUGCUAGGAAUGUUUUUCCCACUCCCCCAAUUCCAUAUAUGCCAACAGUCAAAACUCUAUUAUCUUCCAGAAGCUCCCGAAUCUUCCUAACAUUUUCCCCAAAUUCUCUGCCAAUAAAUUCAUUUGACAACACCAAAGGCUUCUCUUCCUCGUACUCUUCCACUUCUUCAGUCAAGCAUUCUAUUUCCUUAUGUAUUAUUUCAGCCAAAUAUAUUUCUUCUUCUUGCACAUAAAAAGACCCAAACUGAUUCAGUGAGUUUUUUAUAUCAAUAGCUCUUUGUUUCAUGUCCUGCAGUCCGUCCAACCAUUCAUCAACCUCUCUCUUUCGCUUCUUGCCAUGUGACUCCAACAACUGUAAUUGUGUGUGAAUGUCCUCUUCUUUACUAGUCAGAUUGGAUAUAAUUACAUCUAACAUACUUUGCAAAGUAGUCAAAGUACCAUUAACAGCUUCAUGAUCUGUUUCAUUGUUUUGGUGAAACUUCAUUUAGAGUAAUGACAUAUUUAAAGAAAAAAAAAUACAAAUACAUUUUUAAAUACAAAAUCUAAUUAAACAGUAUUUUUUUUGUUGACUUUUCCUUUUAUUUAAUUGUUGGAUCGAAGUUUGAAAUAUAUAUUACUUUAUCAAAAUAAUAUAUAUAUUUUUUCAGCAAAAAUAUUUAAUUAAAAUUAUUAAAUUUUAUGCUUUUCCUCGAUAUUUUUUUUUAAUUUUAUUAUCAAUAUUACUUGAGAGACUUGAAAUAAACAAAAACUAGCCCCUAAGAAAUACUAGUAUUUGAUAUAAAAUAAACAAAAGUUUAGAAAUGAUUAAAAAAAAUAUAGGAACUAAAAUAAAAAAUUUAAUCAAAAAAUUAAUUUGCCCUGAUAAUUUAAAAAUAAAAAACCUCAAAUAGUUGUGCUGUAUAACUUCAACACACAUAAAAAAAAUGUGUGGUUAAUUUAAAUAUAUAUAUAUAUAUAUAUGUUCACAUUAAAAAAUUUAAAAAAUAUAAUUAGUUUAAAAUACAUAUGUUGAAACACCAAAUUCUUCAUUGAGUGAAAUAAUAAAAUUGACCACUAAUUAAGAAUUAAAAUAAGAAAAGGUAACAUAUCUCUAGAGACAAAUAACAUUAAAAUUGAUGAUUGAAAAAUAGAAAUCAAACUACCUUGUAAUAAUACAAGCCCAAGAAUGAAGGAAAGAACAUAAAGACAAUAAAUUUGUAACAAAGUUACAUACCUCCUAAUAAUGAUGUUGAUCCUGUAACCAUUUCAUGGUUAAUUGAACAACCACCAACAGUAUCAGUCAUUUCCUCAGCCUUCUCUGACAGAUUAUAAAACAUGAUUAAAAGAAAAAAAAUACAUAUUAUAUAAUAAAAUUGUAGUAUAAAAGUACAAUAUAAAUAGUAUAAUUUGUUUGAAAUAAUUAGUAUUCUCAAAAACUAUGACUGUAUAAUGUGACACUAAAAAUACGUUGUUUAGAGGAUUUUAGUUUAUUCCUUCGGUUAAGUAAAAAAAUUUAUUCAUGUGCUUUAACUCUUGAAACUCGUCUCUGAAUUUCAGUCCACAGUGCUCGCACUUCAAGCGAUCAUCUUCUUCUUCAAAAACUUGAUUCCAUUACUCUUCAUCUUUAGGUCUACCCAUUGUUAUUAUAUUUUCCUCUACCCAAAAAAUCAAAGCUAAUUCUUGCUCACCACCUCAAUGACUGAGAGUUUAAUCAAAAUGUCAAUGAAAAUUCAACAACAUGGUAUUUCAAUUCACAUUUCAAAUUCAAAACACUCAAAACUCAGUUGUAAAAUCCUAAUUGGUCAAGCCAAAUGAUACUUAGGGACAUGAUGAUCCUGCACAUAAAUCGUUUAUACUGCGGUAGGUUGUACGGUAGGGUUGUAGGUAACCAUUCACAGCAUUAUGAAAUACAAAAUUAGAUAAAUAAGGAAAAAUAGUUUUGCUGGGAUGAUGGAUAAAUAAUGGAAGACAAAUUUUCAUUGGAAAAACAGAGGAAAAAAAAGAAUUACCGAGCCCUUCUUCCAGGUGGUGGUUGAUUACUGAAUGCAGCAACUUAUUCUCUUCUAAUAUAUGAAAUUAUGUUAGAAAAUGUAGGAGUGAUUUGAGAAAGAAAGAGCAAAAAUGUGAGAAAUGCAUUUGAAGUUGGGUAUUAUAUAGGUCGUUUAGGGUUUAGAGGGUUCGACUCGCUUAUCGUGUUUCAUAAUUUAAUUUUUUUUUAAAUAACAAAAAUAUUUUUAACUUUAAUCAUAUUUAAAAAUUAAUAAAUAUUAUUAAUUUAUUGUACAAUCUAUUUUUAAUUCAAUUUAUCUAGAAUAUUUCAUAUAUAUUUUUAAUAUAUUAAACUUGAUUUAAGAUGAGUUUCUUUUUUUAUAAAAAAAGUUAGUUUUAAUUCUUAAGCUUUAUUUAUGAUUUUUUUUAAAUAAUACAAAAUUAUUAUUUUAAAAAAAUAAGAACAUAUUCUUUACUAUAAUUUUUUAAAGAAUAUAUAUUCCAAUUACAAAUAAAUAAAUAUAUAUAUAUACUAUUAUCUUAAACCAUGAUUUUUAUAGUCAAAGUAAUUAGUAUUGUAAUUGAAAUGAUAAUUUAAAACUUAAUUAAAAGUUAAUAUUAAAAUUAUAUAUCAUAAAAGAAAAUUUAAUACAAGUAAAUAUUCAGUUGAUAUGAAGCAAGAAUUUUAAAUAAUUUUUAUAUACAUAUUUAAAAAAAAUAUUAAUGAUCAUUUUUGGUAGAAGAGAAUUCAAGUGACUAAAAUAGGAAGGACUUUUCAUAUAUCUAAUUUUUUGCUGCGUUUGCCCAUCUAUGUAUUUUUAAUGUCAAAGCACCAUUUUUGUAAUUUUUACUUGUGUAAAGUGUCCACUCAUUUUGAUGCUCAAUACAAAAAGGUUGCAUAAACUGUGAUUUUAUGCGGUGAAGUAUUACAACUUAUACAUGGUAACAUGAAUAAAUACAUUGAAUAACAUAAUUUACAUGAAUAAUUUUGUAAUUUCAAAGUCCUCUUUAUCAACUGCUUCACUCAACAAAGGCCGAGCCUACAAACAAGUUUUUCUUAAUUAUUAAACUCAGCAGUUGAUUUAUAUUUGCAUUCCCUUGCCUUGUUCCUUUUUUAUAAUCCAUACAAAAUGCAUGUGAUUUACAAACGUUCCUAAAAAAACAUUCAAUUAUCCGAAGCUUGGCACAUUACACAAGUUAAGGGCAUUACCACUCCUCUUCUAAAUAAGCUUGUUCUUGUAGGCAUUCUAUUCAAGAUUAUUCUCCAAGUUGUUGUCAGUACAUUUGGAAAAGUUUUGGUCUGCCAUAGGUUCUUGAAAAUACUAUUAUGGGAACAACUAGCAUACUUAGCUAGGCACUCAUAAGCAGAUUUUACGGAGAACUCCCAUGAUGCAUCACUUACCCAUGUCUGGAUAUCCUUAACCUCCUUAUUAAAUCGAACCUUAGAAAUAUACUCUAACAUUUUCUCUUCUUGUGAUGCUUUCCAUUGAAACUUAACCCUCCUCCACCUAAGCCUCCAUCUCCACUCAGAAUCCUCCCACCCUCCUACCUCUUCCACAUUCUUCCCUUGAUCCAACGAAAGAGAAAAGAGCCCAGGAUACUUGGAGAUGAGUGUGACACCACCACACCAAGCAUCCUCCCAAAAUCUAGCCUUAUCCCCACCUCCCACUUUCCACUCUAUCGCUCCUCGAAACCAACCCUUUUCUUCAUCCUCUUCGUAGAUUUUACAUAAAUCUCUCCACCAUCGUGACUGGUACUUCAAGUUAAUCUUACUACAACUAUACUCCACACCAUAUUUAGAUAUGAGGAUAUUUCUCCACUUCCCCUUUUCAUCGCUCAAGAGUCUCCACUUCCACUUUGUCAAGUUCGAAGCCACCCAUCAAAGACAAACACUCUAUCCAGUAUACUUUUUGAUGAGUCGUUCGCUUUGAACCAAGUAAACUUCCUAUCCACAAUCGACAACUCUACCAAAAAGUUCUUAUCAAUAAAAUUAUUGAAGUCUCUGAUCUCUUUGGUAUGACUUCCUCUUUCACUAGUACCUUUCCUUUCAUUAACACUUCUAACUACAUUGAAUUCGCCGCAAAAACACUAAGCCGUGUUUUGAUUUGUACUUCUAAUAUUUGACAAAUCCUCCCACAAAACGACCUUCUCAUUCAUAUUACAUAGUGCAUAAACAUUAAACAUCAAACAUCGCGCAUUUCAUUUUAGUUUUGAGAUGUUGCCCGUACAUAACAAUAAAACUCCUUCCCUCCACAUGACUAUCACAACAAAAAGCUUCUUUAUAUAUAUAAUCAACGUACUUUCAACUCCUUUUGUACAUUCAUAUUACAUUGUUAUUGUUGGAUAAUUAGCCGACAAUAAAGAAUGGUUUAUGAGUUUAUCCAACAUGACAUUCCCCUCAUCAAAUACUUCCUUCAAACUCUUCUUUCCAUUCAACAAUCUUUGUCAAUAAGAUUCAUGAUCAAAUCAAUUUUCAAAUAAUUAGGUAGCAAUGCACUAUACAAGAAACAUUUUUGCACGUUCUUUUCAGUUAAAUUAUCAUAGCUACGUCCUAGUACACUUAAAACUUCUUCCUGCAUCUCUACCCUCAUUUCCAAUGUGUCAAGUUUAUUCAGUGCAUGUCUCCACCAAUAGAUGUCAGUUUUUCCUUUCAUGAUUCGAGCAAUCACACUGAUUCCAAG